UACGUAGGGGGCGAGCGUUGUCCGGAUUUACUGGGCGUAAAGGGUGAGUAGGCGGUUGUAUAUGUCAGGUGUAAAAGGCUAUGGCUUAACCAUGGUUAGCACUUGAAACUGUGCAACUUGAGUGCAGGAGAGGUAAGCGGAAUUCCUAGUGUAGCGGUGAAAUGCGUAGAUAUUAGGAGGAACACCAGUGGCGAAGGCGGCUUACUGGACUGUAACUGACGCUGAGUCACGAAAGCGUGGGUAGCAAACAGG
This 252-nucleotide ribosomal RNA is filed under the name uncultured prokaryote. RNAcentral describes it as "partial 16S ribosomal RNA". It matches the Rfam family "Bacterial small subunit ribosomal RNA", at positions 524 to 776 of the family's 1533-position model. The record is from RNAcentral.